This 492-nucleotide ribosomal RNA is filed under the name uncultured bacterium. RNAcentral's name for it is "partial 16S ribosomal RNA". It matches the Rfam family "Bacterial small subunit ribosomal RNA", at positions 29 to 507 of the family's 1533-position model. The record is from RNAcentral.
AGUGAACGCUGGCGGUAGGCCUAAUACAUGCAAGUCGAACGGACGCACAGUAAGCGUUCGCCUCUACGGUUGGCGACUGGCGGGCGGGUGAGGCAUACAUCAGCAUCUUCUUUUUCGUGGGGGACUUCGUAGGGCAACUUACGCUAAUACAGCAUAUGAUCUACGGCUGAAAGCAGGGGAUAUUCGCACCUUUCCCGUUUCAUUGAGAUGAUGUCGGAUUAGCUAGUCGGCGUGGUAAAGGCCCACCAAGGCGACGAUACGUAGCUGAUCUGAGAGGAUGAUCAGCCACACUGGAACUGAGACACGGUCCAGACUCCUACGGGAGGCAGCAGUGGGGAAUAUUGGACAAUGGGCGCAAGCCUGAUCCAGCCAUGCCGCGUGAGUGAAGAAGGCCUUCGGAUUGUAAAACCCUUUUGUUGGGAAAGAAAAGCUGCAGAAGAAAACCCCGCUGUUCUGACGGUACCCAAUGAGAAAGCACCGGCUAACUUCGUG